GCCAGCAUGGUGUAGUGGUUUGAGCAUUGGACCUAUGACUCUGGAGACCAGGGUUCAAAUCCUUGUUCGGCCA
Phrynosoma platyrhinos (Desert horned lizard) is the source of this 73-nucleotide non-coding RNA. The record is from the annotation of a GenBank genome assembly. Lineage: Eukaryota; Metazoa; Chordata; Lepidosauria; Squamata; Phrynosomatidae.